GUCCUCGUAACAGUGACUGGGUUGUGG
Molecule: non-coding RNA, 27 nt
Filed under: Bombyx mori (domestic silkworm)
Lineage: Eukaryota; Metazoa; Arthropoda; Insecta; Lepidoptera; Bombycidae
Source: RNAcentral